RNAcentral lists this ribosomal RNA (253 nucleotides) under uncultured bacterium. Its description in RNAcentral is "partial 16S ribosomal RNA". It matches the Rfam family "Bacterial small subunit ribosomal RNA", at positions 524 to 776 of the family's 1533-position model. The record is from RNAcentral.
UACAGAGGGUGCGAGCGUUAAUCGGAAUUACUGGGCGUAAAGCGUGCGUAGACGGUUGUGUAAGUCGGAUGUGAAAGCCCCGGGCUCAACCUGGGAAUUGCAUUCGAGACUGCAUAGCUAGGAUGCGGAAGAGGGAAGUGGAAUUUCCGGUGUAGCGGUGAAAUGCGUAGAUAUCGGAAGGAACAUCAGUGGCGAAAGCGACUUCCUGGUCCAGCAUCGACGUUCAGGCACGAAAGCGUGGGGAGCAAACAGG